This 21-nucleotide non-coding RNA is filed under the name Caenorhabditis elegans. Lineage: Eukaryota; Metazoa; Nematoda; Chromadorea; Rhabditida; Rhabditidae. The record is from RNAcentral.
UAAAAUAGCUGUAGAAAAGUU